GACGAACGCUGGCGGCGUGCCUAAUACAUGCAAGUAGAACGCUGAAGGAGGAGCUUGCUUCUCUGGAUGAGUUGCGAACGGGUGAGUAACGCGUAGGUAACCUGCCUGGUAGCGGGGGAUAACUAUUGGAAACGAUAGCUAAUACCGCAUAAGAGUAGAUGUUGCAUGACAUUUGCUUAAAAGGUGCAAUUGCAUCACUACCAGAUGGACCUGCGUUGUAUUAGCUAGUUGGUGGGGUAACGGCUCACCAAGGCGACGAUACAUAGCCGACCUGAGGGGGUGAUCGGCCACACUGGGACUGAGACACGGCCCAGACUCCUACGGGAGGCAGCAGUAGGGAAUCUUCGGCAAUGGACGGAAGUCUGACCGAGCAACGCCGCGUGAGUGAAGAAGGUUUUCGGAUCGUAAAGCUCUGUUGUAAGAGAAGAACGAGUGCGAGAGUGGAAAGUUCACACUGUGACGGUAUCUUACCAGAAAGGGACGGCUAACUACGU
Molecule: ribosomal RNA, 494 nt
Filed under: uncultured bacterium
Lineage: Bacteria
Description: partial 16S ribosomal RNA
Rfam family: Bacterial small subunit ribosomal RNA
Source: RNAcentral